This is a non-coding RNA of Jatropha curcas, 161 nucleotides long. Lineage: Eukaryota; Viridiplantae; Streptophyta; Magnoliopsida; Malpighiales; Euphorbiaceae. The record is from Rfam.
AUACUUACCUGGACGGGGUCAAUGGGUGAUCAAGAAGGCCCAUGGCCUAGGUCAGUGUCCUUCAUUGCACUUUGAAGGGGUGCUGUCCUAAGGCCUCCCCAAGUGGGAGAGCCUACGUCAUAAUUUGUGGUAGUGGGGGCCUGCGUUCGCGCGGCCCCUUU